UACGAAGGGGGCUAGCGUUGUUCGGAAUUACUGGGCGUAAAGGGCGCGUAGGCGGCCUGUUAAGUUAGGAGUGAAAGCCCCGGGCUCAACCUGGGAAUUGCUCUUGAUACCGGCAGGCUCGAGUUCCGGAGAGGAUGGUGGAAUUCCCAGUGUAGAGGUGAAAUUCGUAGAUAUUGGGAAGAACACCGGUGGCGAAGGCGGCCAUCUGGACGGACACUGACGCUGAGGCGCGAAAGCGUGGGGAGCAAACAGG
This 253-nucleotide ribosomal RNA is filed under the name uncultured bacterium. Its description in RNAcentral is "partial 16S ribosomal RNA". It matches the Rfam family "Bacterial small subunit ribosomal RNA", at positions 524 to 776 of the family's 1533-position model. The record is from RNAcentral.